RNAcentral lists this ribosomal RNA (373 nucleotides) under uncultured organism. RNAcentral's name for it is "partial 16S ribosomal RNA". It matches the Rfam family "Bacterial small subunit ribosomal RNA", at positions 527 to 896 of the family's 1533-position model. The record is from RNAcentral.
GUAGGUGGCGAGCGUUGUCCGGAAUUAUUGGGCGUAAAGCGCGCGCAGGCGGUUCUUUAAGUCUGAUGUGAAAGCCCACGGCUCAACCGUGGAGGGUCAUUGGAAACUGGAGAACUUGAGUACAGAAGAGGAAAGCGGAAUUCCACGUGUAGCGGUGAAAUGCGUAGAGAUGUGGAGGAACACCAGUGGCGAAGGCGGCUUUCUGGUCUGUAACUGACGCUGAGGCGCGAAAGCGUGGGGAGCAAACAGGGAUUAGAUACCCUGGUAGUCCACGCCGUAAACGAUGAGUGCUAAGUGUUAGGGGGGUUUCCGCCCCCUUAGUGCUGCAGCUAACGCAUUAAGCACUCCGCCUGGGGAUACGGCCGCAAGGCUG